Perca flavescens (yellow perch) is the source of this 610-nucleotide long non-coding RNA. RefSeq lists it as uncharacterized. The record is from RefSeq and is a predicted model, not a curated record. The transcript is spliced from 3 exons. NCBI's taxonomy places the organism in Eukaryota, Metazoa, Chordata, Actinopteri, Perciformes, Percidae.
CAGGAAAUUAGAUUCUUUCAAAGCUGGCACCUCACUGAAAACUGAAAUGCCAUCUACUUUCUAGCCCACGCUCACCCUGCAAGUCACAUUAAGUGACUGCAGGUCCACUUGUUCCUGUAGAGGCAAGUAGUGAAGGUCAUAUACGUUUAUGUGAACUCAACAAACUCCUUCACUGAGAAAAGUGAUUUUUCCAACCUGAUUUGUGGGCUUUGAUUCCCCAGUGUUGUGUUUUUAGUUUCAUGAGUAAUAGUUACACCUGUUGAAGAUUUCAAAAUGGACAAGAUAUUGAUUCCAGGCAUUUAAAUCUUCCAAGUUCUUUGCAACUUUCAACAUCUCAGAGUUUGGAGAGUGAUUUCACCUGUGGAAUUGCAAGAGGGUGAGGCAGUUCACCUGGACCUCCACCUGGACUUCAGGGAGAAAGAUGAACUCUGGUCUCCAUCUGCUCAGCAGUCCACCUUUGGAAUGUUCUUCUUUUCCCAUCGAGCUCUUGGCCUCAUCCUUCUCGACUGAUGAUCAGCCAGAUAACAUUAGCUCCCGACCAAUCAGGCGCCUGGAUCCGUACCUCAUCCCACAGGACAGCUGAAGACAUGAAAGGGGAGAGAGAAGGGGA